ACGGGGUGCAGCAGGCGCGAAAACUCCGCAAUGGGCGAAAGCCCGACGGGGUUACCCCGAGUGCCACCCUCGUGGUGGCUUUUGCCCGCUCUAAAAAGGCGGGCGAAUAAGGGGAGGGCAAGUCGGGUGUCAGCCGCCGCGGUAAUACCCGCUCCCCGAGUGGUGGAGGCUAUUACUGGGCCUAAAGCGCCCGUAGCCGGCCCGGUGUGUCCCUCGUUAAAUCCACGGGCUUAACCCGUGGGCUGCGGGGGAUACUACCGGGCUUGGGGGUGGGAGAGGCGCCCGGUAUUCCCGGGGUAGGGGUAAAAUCCUCUGAUCCCGGGAGGACCACCAGUGGCGAAGGCGCCCGGCUGGAACGCGCCUGACGGUGAGGGCCGAAAGCCGGGGGAGCGAACCGGAUUAGAUACCCGGGUAGUCCCGGCUGUAAACGAUGCGGGCUAGGUGUUGGGCGGACUUAGAGUCCGCCCAGUGCCGCAGGGAAGCCGUUAAGCCCGCCGCCUGGGGAGUACGGCCGCAAGGCUGAAACUUAAAGGAAUUGGCGGGGGAGCAC
This 550-nucleotide ribosomal RNA is filed under the name uncultured archaeon. RNAcentral describes it as "bacterial SSU rRNA". It matches the Rfam family "Archaeal small subunit ribosomal RNA", at positions 325 to 879 of the family's 1478-position model. The record is from RNAcentral.